RNAcentral lists this ribosomal RNA (848 nucleotides) under uncultured bacterium. Its description in RNAcentral is "bacterial SSU rRNA". It matches the Rfam family "Bacterial small subunit ribosomal RNA", at positions 56 to 939 of the family's 1533-position model. The record is from RNAcentral.
UGAAGUCGAACGAGAAAGCCCGGCAACGGGUGAGUACAGUGGCGUACGGGUGAGUAACACGUGGGUAAUCUACCUCUUUGUGUGGAAUAACCCUGGGAAACCGGGGCUAAUACCGCAUAAGCUCGAGAGAGGAAAGCAGCAAUGCGCUGAGAGAGGAGCCCGCGGCCGAUUAGCUAGUUGGCAGGGUAAAAGCCUACCAAGGCAAAGAUCGGUAGCCGGCCUGAGAGGGCACACGGCCACACUGGCACUGAAACACGGGCCAGACUCCUACGGGAGGCAGCAGUGGGGAAUCUUGCACAAUGGGGGCAACCCUGAUGCAGCGACGCCGCGUGAGCGAUGAAGCCCCUCGGGGUGUAAAGCUCUUUCGGCAGGGAAGAUUAUGACGGUACCUGCAGAAGCAGCUGCGGCUAACUACGUGCCAGCAGCCGCGGUAAUACGUAGGCAGCAAGCGUUGUUCGGAGUUACUGGGCGUAAAGGGUGUGUAGGCGGUCUUCUAAGUUUGGUGUGAAAUCUCCCGGCUCAACUGGGAGGGUGCGCCGAAUACUGAAAGACUAGAGUGCGGGAGAGGAUAGUGGAAUUCCUGGUGUAGCGGUGAAAUGCGUAGAUAUCAGGAGGAACACCGGUGGUGUAGACGGCUAUCUGGACCGUAACUGACGCUGAGACACGAAAGCGUGGGUAGCAAACAGGAUUAGAUACCCUGUAGUCCACGCCCUAAACGAUGCAUAUUUGGUGUGGGGCAGUUCAGUCUGUCCGUGCCGGAGCUAACGCGUUAAAUAUGCCGCCUGGGGAGUACAGUCGCAGGCUGAAACUCAAAGGAAUUGACGGGGGCCCGCACAAGCGGGGACAUG